Ovis aries (sheep) is the source of this 74-nucleotide transfer RNA. It matches the Rfam family "tRNA". Rfam says of the family: Transfer RNA (tRNA) molecules are approximately 80 nucleotides in length. Their secondary structure includes four short double-helical elements and three loops (D, anti-codon, and T loops). Further hydrogen bonds mediate the characteristic L-shaped molecular structure. tRNAs have two regions of fundamental functional importance: the anti-codon, which is responsible for specific mRNA codon recognition, and the 3' end, to which the tRNAs corresponding amino acid is attached (by aminoacyl-tRNA synthetases). tRNAs cope with the degeneracy of the genetic code in two manners: having more than one tRNA (with a specific anti-codon) for a particular amino acid; and 'wobble' base-pairing, i.e. permitting non-standard base-pairing at the 3rd anti-codon position. NCBI's taxonomy places the organism in Eukaryota, Metazoa, Chordata, Mammalia, Artiodactyla, Bovidae. The record is from Rfam.
UCCCUGGUGGUCCAGUGGCUAAAAGACUCAGCACUGCCAAUGCAGGGGCCCAGGUUCAAUCCCUGGCCAAGGAA